CCACCACUAUGCCUUGCUAAUUUUUGUAUUUUUAGUAGAGAUGGGGUUUUGCCAUGUUGCCCAGGCUUGUCUUGAAAUCCUCAACUCAAGUAAUCUGCUCACUUGGCCUAUAAAAGUGCUAGGAUUACAGGUGUGAGGUACCACCCUGGCCCUAAAUGGUUUUUAUUUUUGGAAGAUUAGGCCGUUUUAUAUUGGUAUGAGAUGAGCGAGGGAGACAGUGAGGGUUUUGAUGAGUAAGGUAAAGACUGAAAAUGGUCACUAAGAAACUGAUCAAAGAAAAAUACAAGGAUUUGAUAAGUGUGGAGGGUCCAACUGAGAUUGGAAUCAUACCUUAUAGAGCUAAUAAUGAUGGUCAUUCUCAGGGCGGGGAGUGGUAGAAGGCUAUGGGAGUAGUACAGAAAUAUUUAGGGGUAGGCUUAUACAGAAAUGUCAUUUAGAGAAGCACAGAUGUGAUCAAAUAACAUUAUUGCCUAAUUUUGAAACAUUUUCUAGUCUUCCUUAGCCAGAACCUAGAGAGUAGAUGACUUUCUUUUUUAUAGUUAGUUAUUAACUAAAUUUUAUAUAGUUGGAGAAAAUAGUUUGAGAGAAUCAAUGAUAGAGCUAAAGGGAAAAUCUUUGAAAUAGCUAAAAAUAAUAUCCAAAUUAAGGUAGAAAGUGACAUCAAAAGGGUGUUAUACAGAAAUUGGAAAGAGCAGAAAGUCCGAGGAUGAUGAAGAUUUUAAUGGUAAUGCUGGAAGGGUUGUCAGUUUAAGUUGGUAUUCUUGCAGAUGAGAUACUUGAAAGUUGUUAUAAUUUGUGGAAUAAAGGAAUUUUAGGGCUCGAGCUUUUAAAGAGUCAUCAAUGUGGCAUUAUGUUUGUGUAGAAUGACAGCAGAGGAAGAGAUGGCAAAAAAAAAAACCAGAUUAUUAAUCUGUUAAAACGUAGUAUGUUUUCAAGAGGUUGAUAGACCAGGGAUCAGCAAACUAUAGCCUGGGAAUCAGAUAGCAGCCUUUUUUUUUGUGGUUUUGGGGAUAAGAAUAGUUUUUAACAGAGGAAUAUUUGCAAACAUUAGUUAUAGAAUAUUGACUUUAUACCCAAAUUAAGUGAAAUGUUUUUUCCUGAAAAAGCAUUCUAUUCUUAUUAGUAGACCUGUAUUACAAAAAUUUUUACUGUUACUAUUUUUGUUUCAAAAUUUUAAAAAAUUGUGGAAAUUUGAUUUUCCUUUUUCAUGUGAGUACUUAUGUAGUAUUUUCAAUUGUUGCUUCUUGAUACACAGUCUAAAGUGUUUGCGUUCUGCCUAUAAGGCAGAAUUGAGAGGCAGGUGUAGAUUUCCGAACAGGCCAGUAACAUCUGAUGGCAGAGGAGCAAGGCUAUUGUAUCUACUGUGGAGAGAGAUGUGGUAAAUUACUGGAGUGGUGAGGAGAGGUAGCAUGCUAGGAAAAUAAUGUUUUUAUUUUUCAUUAAGGUUUCCAUAGGGCUAACUGAUGAGAAGUUAAGAUUUUUCAGGUAAAUUUUUUAUCAGAUACAACAUUCAUUCAUACAAGUACACAAAUAUAAAUGUACUGGUCAAUGAUAUAUAUAUAUUUUUCCAAAAUGAAUAGUGAAUACAUUUUUGUGACCACCACUCAGAUUAAUAAAUAAAACAUUGCAGACAUCCUUAAACUUUCCUUCUGACUUGUUAGUCACUACUCACAUCCCUUAAAGGUAAGCUCUAGUCUGAUGAUUCAUUUUGUGUGUUUUUGAUUUUUAUGUAGAUGGAAUUAAGCAUUUACCACCAUGUACUGCUUUGUAUGACUUCCUUCACUCAGCAUUGUCUGUGAGUCAUGUUUUUAGGAUAGCAGUAGUAGUUCAUUGAUUUUUUUGGUGAAAAUAGCCAAAUGUUAAACUAUUGUUAGUAUGCUGUAGUUUUCUCAUUUUAACAUUGAUAGACGUGGCUAUUACAAAUAGUGCUCCUGUAUACAUUUUUGGAAGUGCACUUUGAAUAUAUGCACCCAUUUCUUUUGGGUGCUUUGGAACAGAAUUGCUGGAUCAAAAAGUAUGUUUUGCUUUGGGAGAUAAAAAUCUUACAAAGUGAUUGUGUUGUAUUCCUGCCAGAAGAGCAUAUGUUCCAGGUAGUCUACAUCUAUACCAACACUGGUAUUGUCAGGAUUUUAAAAAUUUUUGUUGCAAUUUUUAAUCUUCACUUCCUUUGUGCUUAAUGAAGUUGAGAAUCUUUUCAUGUGUUUAUUGCCCAUUUGGUUGUCUUCUUUUGUGAAGUGCCUUUUAGUCAUUUCAAUUGGAUGAUCUGUCAUGUCUUACUCAAUUUGUAGGAGCUCUGCAUGUAAUUUGGAAGGUUCGGUUUUGCUCUCAUGGCUAAAUACUAUUUGACCACUUUCAUCUUUACUUCUUGCAGGCAGUGAAGUAUUGUGGCAUUUUCCUGGAUUUUUCUUUCCUUGCAAAAUUAAAUUCAGUACAGAAAUCUUUUCUUUUGCUGAAGCAUUUCUGUCCCUGAAUAUUGUGUAGAAUCCUUACAUGUUAGUCAGUACACUUUAGGUUUAUGUGAGUUUCUGUAUUUAUCUAUUUGCUCCCUGUACUGUAGGUUAAAUUCUGUUUCCUGGACUCUUUGCAAAGCAAAAACCUGAUGUAACAUAGUUGCCUUAAAAAAUGAGUGCAGUUUUGUUUCAGCAAUGUGGAUGGAGAAGCAUAUAAGUUUAUUCCUGAUUACCUGGUUAUGGAGAGGUGACAGCUAUAUGUGCUUUACAGAAGAGAUGGUGUUGGUUUUGUUUAUUUAUACAUAACCGUGCCUAGAAAGGGUAAGAGAUGAUUUGUAGGGACACGUAAAAAAUAAGAACGUAUAAAUCAGAAGUAGGGGUGACUGACUAUAGUAAUUCUCUUCAUUUUAAAAUUUUCAGGUAAGUAAAAUAUUUUUACACCUG
This is a long non-coding RNA of Sapajus apella (tufted capuchin), 2894 nucleotides long. RefSeq lists it as uncharacterized. The record is from RefSeq and is a predicted model, not a curated record. Lineage: Eukaryota; Metazoa; Chordata; Mammalia; Primates; Cebidae. The transcript is spliced from 2 exons.